This 266-nucleotide ribosomal RNA is filed under the name uncultured bacterium. RNAcentral describes it as "partial 16S ribosomal RNA". It matches the Rfam family "Bacterial small subunit ribosomal RNA", at positions 355 to 613 of the family's 1533-position model. The record is from RNAcentral.
UGGGGAAUAUUGGACAAUGGGCGAAAGCCUGAUCCAGCGACGCCGCGUGUCGGAAGGAGUCCUUCGGGAUGUAAACGACUUUUGGUGGAGACGAAUAAGCAGCUCAGGGAAUGGGGCUGUGAUGACGGUAUCCAUGGAAUAAGCCCCGGCUAACUACGUGCCAGCAGCCGCGGUAAGACGUAGGGGGCAAGCGUCACCCGGAAUUACUGGGCGUAAAGGGAGCGUAGGCGGGAGGUCAAGUCCGGUGUGAAAGACCCUGGCUCAAC